UGCAGAAUCCCGUGAACCAUCGAGUCUUUGAACGCAAGUUGCGCCCGAAGCCUUUAGGCCAAGGGCACGCCUGCCUGGGCGUCA
This 84-nucleotide ribosomal RNA is filed under the name Crataegus suksdorfii. Its description in RNAcentral is "partial 5.8S ribosomal RNA". It matches the Rfam family "5.8S ribosomal RNA", at positions 73 to 154 of the family's 154-position model. Rfam says of the family: 5.8S ribosomal RNA (5.8S rRNA) is a component of the large subunit of the eukaryotic ribosome. It is transcribed by RNA polymerase I as part of the 45S precursor that also contains 18S and 28S rRNA. The record is from RNAcentral. Lineage: Eukaryota; Viridiplantae; Streptophyta; Magnoliopsida; Rosales; Rosaceae.